This 492-nucleotide ribosomal RNA is filed under the name uncultured bacterium. RNAcentral's name for it is "partial 16S ribosomal RNA". It matches the Rfam family "Bacterial small subunit ribosomal RNA", at positions 29 to 507 of the family's 1533-position model. The record is from RNAcentral.
AGUGAACGCUGGCGGUAGGCCUAAUACAUGCAAGUCGAACGGCAGCACAGUAAGAGCUUGCCCUUACGGGUGGCGAGUGGCGGACGGGUGAGGCAUACAUCGGAAUCUACUUUUUCGUGGGGGAUAACGUAGGGAAACUUACGCUAAUACCGCAUACGACCUACGGGUGAAAGCAGGGGUUCUUCGGACCUUGCGCGAUUGAAUGAGCCGAUGUCGGAUUAGCUAGUUGGCGGGGUAAAGGCCCACCAAGGCGACGAUCCGUAGCUGGUCUGAGAGGAUGAUCAGCCACACUGGAACUGAGACACGGUCCAGACUCCUACGGGAGGCAGCAGUGGGGAAUAUUGGGCAAUGGGCGCAAGCCUGAUCCAGCCAUACCGCGUGGGUGAAGAAGGCCUUCGGGUUGUAAAGCCCUUUUGUUGGGGAAGAAAAGCAGCAGGUUAAUACCCCGCUGUUCUGACGGUACCCAAAGAAUAAGCACCGGCUAACUUCGUG